Oncorhynchus tshawytscha (Chinook salmon) is the source of this 1102-nucleotide long non-coding RNA. The record is from Ensembl. Lineage: Eukaryota; Metazoa; Chordata; Actinopteri; Salmoniformes; Salmonidae.
UGCUUGCUGUUUUGGGUUUUAGGCUGGGUGUCUGUACAGCACUUCAGCACAUUAGCACAUCAGCUGAUGUAAGAAGGGCUAUAUAAAUACAUUUGAUUUGAUUUGCUUCCCGUAGCAUUGAAUACAAGGGAAGCCAGCGUGCAUUUGGCCUCCCUUGAUAAAAACAAUAGUCAAUCAGCAUUGAGCUCAACUGUGAAUGGUCCCGAUUCACCCCCCCCAAAAACCGUCAAUGGAAGCCAGUUUGGAUUUGGCUUCACACCAAUCACAUCACGAACACAGCCAAACGACAGUGACAGAAAAAAACUUGAAUUGUUGCAUCUCGUUGUUGUCUUCCUCCGGUGUCUAGCUUGCUAGCGAAAAUUGUCCUGUUCCUAAAUUAACAAAGGAUGGAGAUAGGGAUUUGGACUUGUGGUUCUUACUAAAUUCUCUGUACUGGCCAAUGAUAAUAAAGGCGAUUCUGAUCCAACCAUAAAUUCAUACAUUCUGCAUGCCCCUGGCCUGAAAGGAUGGAAGUUCAAUAUAUAGAUAGAUAUAGUAGGCUAAUGUUAACUUGCUGGUUCAUCAUUGCCCAUGAAAGGAAGUUAGGCUAGCGAGCAAGCAUUUUAGCUAGGACAACAAAAACUAAACGUGUGUUGCCUACAGUAUGAUCGCCAUAGACCGUUUCGGCGACAUGAAAGAGAGGAGGAUGGCAUUGGCGUUUCUCUACAAGUAGGCCCCUGUCAACCAUUGUUGAGGAAUACACACCUACUGUCUCUAUGGCAACCACUCUGAUUUGGCUGGAGUGGAGUUGGCUGGUGCACAGAGCUCUUGAACGAAGGCCAACCCAUACCGCCACACCUGGGAAAUACAUUGACUCCUCACAUACAUUUCCAGAUGUGAGUUACUAUUUGAGAGACUUGUGAUCUCUCAUUGGACUGUCCACCAAUAAAAAGCUGUAUAAGCGUGAGUGAGAUGCAUGAUUUCAAAUAAUUUGCAUAUGGAAGUAUGGCUGUGAAUUUAUCGGAUCGAAGUCUAUAAUGCUUAAAAUAAAAUAAAAUUGUAUUAGUCACAUACACAUGUUUAGCAGAUGUUAUUGCAAGUGUAGCGAAAUGCUUGUUUCUCU